CGAUAGAGGUCGCGGAGAUCAAGAGUAGAUCAAGAGUAGCGGCAAGAAAAGCGAGGGAACGCUGCCGUGAAAGGGUGAUCCGCCGAAGCCAGUCAGAGACCCGGACUGACAGGCUGGGACGAUGUAAUAAGAUGCAUCGUACUGUCACGUAAGUGGAGCGCUAUCAU
RNAcentral lists this non-coding RNA (167 nucleotides) under bovine gut metagenome. RNAcentral's name for it is "Lysine riboswitch". It matches the Rfam family "Lysine riboswitch aptamer". From Rfam's summary of the family: Riboswitches are metabolite binding domains within certain messenger RNAs that serve as precision sensors for their corresponding targets. Allosteric rearrangement of mRNA structure is mediated by ligand binding, and this results in modulation of gene expression. The record is from RNAcentral.